CCUACGGGAGGCUGCAGUGGGGAAUAUUGGACAAUGGGCGAAAGCCUGAUCCAGCCAUGCCGCGUGUGUGAAGAAGGCCUUCGGGUUGUAAAGCACUUUCAGUGGGGAAGAAAGCCUUGGGGCUAAUACCCUCGAGGAAGGACAUCACCCACAGAAGAAGCACCGGCUAACUCCGUGCCAGCAGCCGCGGUAAUACGGAGGGUGCGAGCGUUAAUCGGAAUUACUGGGCGUAAAGCGCGCGUAGGCGGUCUGAUAAGCCGGUUGUGAAAGCCCCGGGCUCAACCUGGGAACGGCAUCCGGAACUGUCAGGCUAGAGUGCAGGAGAGGAAGGUAGAAUUCCCGGUGUAGCGGUGAAAUGCGUAGAGAUCGGGAGGAAUACCAGUGGCGAAGGCGGCCUUCUGAACUGACACUGACGCUGAGGUGCGAAAGCGUGGGUAGCAAACAGGAUUAGAUACCCCAGUAGUC
Molecule: ribosomal RNA, 465 nt
Filed under: Vreelandella stevensii
Lineage: Bacteria; Pseudomonadati; Pseudomonadota; Gammaproteobacteria; Oceanospirillales; Halomonadaceae
Description: partial 16S ribosomal RNA
Rfam family: Bacterial small subunit ribosomal RNA
Source: RNAcentral